GUCCACGCCCUAAACUAUGUCAACUAGCUGUUGGGCUCAUAUAAGGGCUUAGUGGCGCAGCUAACGCGAUAAGUUGACCGCCUGGGGAGUACGGUCGCAAGAUUAAAACUCAAAGGAAUUGACGGGGCCCGGCACAAGCGGUGGAGCAUGUGGUUUAAUUUCGAUGCAACGCGAAGAACCUUACCUACCCUUGACAUCCUCGGAACUUGUCAGAGAUGACUUGGUGCCUUCGGGAACCGAGAGACAGGUGCUGCAUGGCUGUCGU
RNAcentral lists this ribosomal RNA (265 nucleotides) under uncultured bacterium. Its description in RNAcentral is "partial 16S ribosomal RNA". It matches the Rfam family "Bacterial small subunit ribosomal RNA", at positions 793 to 1055 of the family's 1533-position model. The record is from RNAcentral.